This 468-nucleotide ribosomal RNA is filed under the name uncultured bacterium. Its description in RNAcentral is "partial 16S ribosomal RNA". It matches the Rfam family "Bacterial small subunit ribosomal RNA", at positions 28 to 507 of the family's 1533-position model. The record is from RNAcentral.
GACGAACGCUGGCGGCGUGCUUAACACAUGCAAGUCGAACGGAAAGGCCCUGCUUUUGUGGGGUGCUCGAGUGGCGAACGGGUGAGUAACAAGUGAGUAACCUGCCCUUGACUUUGGGAUAACUUCAGGAAACUGGGGCUAAUACCGGAUAGGAGCUCCUGCUGCAUGGUGGGGGUUGGAAAGUUUCGGCGGUUGGGGAUGGACUCGCGGCUUAUCAGCUUGUUGGUGGGGUAGUGGCUUACCAAGGCUUUGGCGGGUAGCCGGCCUGGGCGGGUGACCGGCCACAUUGGGACUGGGAUACGGCCCAGACUCCUACGGGAGGCAGCAGUGGGGAAUAUUGCACAAUGGGCGGAAGCCUGAUGCAGCAACGCCGCGUGCGGGAUGACGGCCUUCGGGUUGUAAACCGCUUUCGCCUGUGACGAAGCGUGAGUGACGGUAAUGGGUAAAGAAGCACCGGCUAACUACGUG